RNAcentral lists this ribosomal RNA (484 nucleotides) under uncultured bacterium. Its description in RNAcentral is "partial 16S ribosomal RNA". It matches the Rfam family "Bacterial small subunit ribosomal RNA", at positions 30 to 507 of the family's 1533-position model. The record is from RNAcentral.
AUUGAACGCUGGCGGCAGGCCUAACACAUGCAAGUCGAGCGGAUGAAGGGAGCUUGCUCCUGGAUUCAGCGGCGGACGGGUGAGUAAUGCCUAGGAAUCUGCCUGGUAGUGGGGGAUAACGUCCGGAAACGGGCGCUAAUACCGCAUACGUCCUGAGGGAGAAAGUGGGGGAUCUUCGGACCUCACGCUAUCAGAUGAGCCUAGGUCGGAUUAGCUAGUCGGUGGGGUAAAGGCCUACCAAGGCGACGAUCCGUAACUGGUCUGAGAGGAUGAUCAGUCACACUGGAACUGAGACACGGUCCAGACUCCUACGGGAGGCGGCAGUGGGGAAUAUUGGACAAUGGGCGAAAGCCUGAUCCAGCCAUGCCGCGUGUGUGAAGAAGGUCUUCGGAUUGUAAAGCACUUUAAGUUGGGAGGAAGGGCAGUAAGUUAAUACCUUGCUGUUUUGACGUUACCAACAGAAUAAGCACCGGCUAACUUCGUG